Molecule: ribosomal RNA, 613 nt
Filed under: uncultured bacterium
Lineage: Bacteria
Description: bacterial SSU rRNA
Rfam family: Bacterial small subunit ribosomal RNA
Source: RNAcentral
CCUACGGGAGGCAGCAGUAAGGAAUAUUGGACAAUGGUCGCAAGACUGAUCCAGCCAUGCCGCGUGCAGGAUGACUGCCCUAUGGGUUGUAAACUGCUUUUGUACGGGAAUAAACCCCUCUACGUGUAGAGGGCUGAAUGUACCGUAAGAAUAAGGGUCGGCUAACUUCGUGCCAGCAGCCGCGGUAAGACGAAGGACCCAAGCGUUAUCCGGAUUCAUUGGGUUUAAAGGGUGCGUAGGCGGAUUGAUAAGUCAGUGGUGAAAGCCUGUUGCUUAACAACAGAACUGCCAUUGAUACUGUCUAUCUUGAAUAUGGUUGAUGUGGGCGGAAUAUGACAUGUAGCGGUGAAAUGCUUAGAUAUGUCAUAGAACACCGAUUGCGAAGGCAGCUCACAAAGCCAUUAUUGACGCUGAGGCACGAAAGCGUGGGGAUCAAACAGGAUUAGAUACCCUGGUAGUCCACGCUGUAAACUUUGAUCACUCGCUGUUGGCGAUACACUGUCAGCGGCUAAGCGAAAGCGUUAAAGUGAUUCACCUUGGGGAGUACGAUUCGCAGAUUGAAACUUCAAAGGAAUUGACGGNGNGAGAGNGCGAGGACGACACGAGGAGAAGG